UGCCAAUGAUGGUUAAGAAUUUCUUCAUCUGAAUAAACCAUGUGGCAGUUUUGUAUCUGAGGUAA
Diceros bicornis minor is the source of this 65-nucleotide small nucleolar RNA. The record is from RefSeq and is a predicted model, not a curated record. NCBI's taxonomy places the organism in Eukaryota, Metazoa, Chordata, Mammalia, Perissodactyla, Rhinocerotidae.